AUUGAACGCUGGCGGCAGGCCUAACCCAUGCAAGUCGAACGAGUGGCGGACGGGUGAGUAAUGUCUGGGAAACUGCCCGAUGGAGGGGGAUAACUCCUGGAAACGGUAGCUACUACCGCAUACCAUCGGAUGUGCCCAGAGGGGUUUAGCUAGUAGGUGGGGUAACGGCUCACCUAGGCGACGGUCCCUAGCUGGGCUGAGAGGAUGACCAGGCAACCUGGAACUGAGACACGGUCCAAACUCCAACGGGAGGCAGAAGUGGGGAAUAUUGCACAAUGGGCGCAAGCCUGAUGGAGCCAAGCCGAGUGUAUGAAGAAGGCCUUCGGGUUGUAAAGUACUUUCAGCGAGGAGGCGUUACUCGCAGAGGAAGCACCGGCUAACUCCGUGCCAGCAGCCGCGGUAAUAC
This 406-nucleotide ribosomal RNA is filed under the name uncultured bacterium. RNAcentral describes it as "partial 16S ribosomal RNA". It matches the Rfam family "Bacterial small subunit ribosomal RNA", at positions 29 to 526 of the family's 1533-position model. The record is from RNAcentral.